UUAUAGAUAACAAAGUCAAAAUGUGGUGUCUGUCUAGCGGUAUUAAAGUUGUAGUAUAUUUAAAUAAUUUUCUGAUAAUUUAUAUACUAAAUGUCUGGAUAUGGUGUGUAACCGUACUGUGGCCUGGUGUAGUGUAGUGAUUGUAAUGUGGUUAUACAAGGCCUGAGACUAGUGAAUUAUGGCAUAAAGAAACAACUUUAACCCAAAAUCUGUCUUCACUAAAAGAGGAUUUGGCCAAGGCCGAUCAAGCUCUGUGGUCUAGAGAGAUGGCGUCGGUCCCAAUCGGUGCCUAGUUCUGGAGAGCUUAGUCGUCAGUUCGACUCCAUAAGCUUCGAGUUCAGCGGUUCCUGUUACUCAUCAUGCAGCUGCAGUUACUGCCGGCUGAGGGACUGUGCGCAUGAUUGUGUCAGAAGAAAUCCUGAAAUCCCGUCAAGCACUUUGGAUGUCAGCCGAUGGUCACAUGAUGCUGUACGCCACAUUCAAUGAUACACUGGUUCACGAGCAGAAGUACCCCUGGUAUGGAACCGCUUUGGACACAGAUGACCCUUCAA
This is a long non-coding RNA of Pieris napi, 551 nucleotides long. RefSeq lists it as uncharacterized. The transcript is spliced from 4 exons. NCBI's taxonomy places the organism in Eukaryota, Metazoa, Arthropoda, Insecta, Lepidoptera, Pieridae. The record is from RefSeq and is a predicted model, not a curated record.